This 387-nucleotide ribosomal RNA is filed under the name uncultured Glomeromycotina. Its description in RNAcentral is "SSU rRNA". It matches the Rfam family "Eukaryotic small subunit ribosomal RNA", at positions 569 to 962 of the family's 1831-position model. The record is from RNAcentral. Lineage: Eukaryota; Fungi; Glomeromycota.
AGCAGCCGCGGUAAUUCCAGCUCCAAUAGCGUAUAUUAAAGUUGUUGCAGUUAAAAAGCUCGUAGUUGAAUUUCGGGGUUAGCAGGUCGGUCGUGCCAUCGGUAUGAACUGGUCUCGCUGAUCCCUCCCUCUUGACGAACUGUGAUGCCAUUAAUUUGGUGUCGCAGGGAAUCAGGACUGUUACUUUGAAAAAUUAGAGUGUUUAAAGCAGGCUCACGCUUGAAUACAUUAGCAUGGAAUAAUGAAAUAGGACGUUUGAUCCUGUUUUGUUGGUUUCUAGGAUUGACGUAAUGAUUAAUAGGGAUAGUUGGGGCAUUAGUAUUCAAUUGUCAGAGGUGAAAUUCUUGGAUUUAUUGAAGACUAACUACUGCGAAAGCAUUUGCCAAG